This 763-nucleotide ribosomal RNA is filed under the name uncultured Campylobacterota bacterium. Its description in RNAcentral is "bacterial SSU rRNA". It matches the Rfam family "Bacterial small subunit ribosomal RNA", at positions 509 to 1272 of the family's 1533-position model. The record is from RNAcentral. Lineage: Bacteria; Pseudomonadati; Campylobacterota.
CAGCCGCCGCGGUAAUACGGAGGGUGCAAGCGUUACUCGGAAUCACUGGGCGUAAAGCGCGCGCAGGCGGCCUUUUAAGUUGGAUGUGAAAGCCUAUGGCUCAACCAUAGAACUGCAUCCAAAACUAUCAGGCUAGAGUGUGGGAGAGGAAGAUGGAAUUAGUUGUGUAGGGGUAAAAUCCGUAGAGAUAACUAGGAAUACCAAAAGCGAAGGCAAUCUUCUGGAACAUUACUGACGCUGAGGCGCGAAAGCGUGGGGAGCAAACAGGAUUAGAUACCCUGGUAGUCCACGCCCUAAACGAUGAAUGUUAGUCGUCGGGUAGCUAGUCUAUUCGGUGAUGCAGCUAACGCAUUAAACAUUCCGCCUGGGGAGUACGGUCGCAAGAUUAAAACUCAAAGGAAUAGACGGGGACCCGCACAAGUGGUGGAGCAUGUGGUUUAAUUCGAAGAUACGCGAAGAACCUUACCUAGCCUUGACAUAUUUUAGAACACUUUAGAGAUAGAGUGGUGCCUUCGGGAGCUAAUAUACAGGUGCUGCACGGCUGUCGUCAGCUCGUGUCGUGAGAUGUUGGGUUAAGUCCCGCAACGAGCGCAACCCUCGUCACUAGUUACUAACGGUUCGGCCGAGGACUCUAGUGAGACUGCCUUCGUAAGGAGGAGGAAGGUGAGGACGACGUCAAGUCAUCAUGGCCCUUACGGCUAGGGCAACCACCGUGCUACAAUGGCCAGGACAAUGAGAAGCGAUACCGCGAGGUGGAGCAAAU